GACAGAGGUGCCAAGCGUUAGGCGGAAUCACUGGGCUUAAAGCGUGUGUAGGCGGAAUUGUAAGUACCUUGUGAAAUCCCACGGCUCAACCGUGGAACUGCUCGGUAUACUGCUUUUCUUGAGCCACUUAGGGGCUGUCGGAACAAACGGUGGAGCGGUGAAAUGCGUAGAUAUCGUUUGGAACGCCAAUGGUGAAAACAGACAGCUGGGAGUGUGCUGACGCUGAGACACG
RNAcentral lists this ribosomal RNA (232 nucleotides) under uncultured bacterium. RNAcentral's name for it is "partial 16S ribosomal RNA". It matches the Rfam family "Bacterial small subunit ribosomal RNA", at positions 524 to 755 of the family's 1533-position model. The record is from RNAcentral.